CCAUGCGGCAGAGCUCAGCAAUGGGAGAUGGGGCUGUCCUUCCUCAGGGAACCACAGAAAUCUUCACCUGGGUCUAGACUCCCAAGGCUUCUUUGCAGGGUGAGACAACAAAGGCACAGAGAAUUUGUAACUAAAAAAUGCAGACAAAGAAGUCUUAGCCAUCUUCUAAUCUCGUGGUACCCAAAUACUGGACUGCAGGAAAGGGCAGGCCUUGUUGAUUACGGGAUUGGGAUAUGACUUCCUUGAAUGUUACCCAAAGGUGUUGUCUGUCUCACAGCACAUGAAAUAUUAUGUACCUUUACAUAUGGUCAUCUCUGAAGAUGGAAAUAGGGAUGGAGUUGGUAUUAUAAGACCUGCGCCCGGAUGUGGCAGCAGCAUGAGGCCUGGCACUCAACGCUGUGCAAAGGAUGAAGCGGCAGCUGAAGGUGCAGGAGCAGGAGCCUGCCAGGUACAUGUCCUUGUGCACGAACGAGGUGCCCUCUUUCUAUGUGGCCAUGGUCGAUGUCAACAACGACUUCAUGCUGCUGGCAGCAUGACACCCACAGUGAGGGCCACAGGACACAGGCGAGGGCCACACGAGUCUGCCACAUGCAGUUGCUGAACCCCGGUGGUUGGAGGAGGGAACACUGUGUUCACCUGGCAGGGAGACCCUAGAGAGACCACCUUGGCCAUGACAUCUCCAUCCCUUCCAGACUGGCUCAGGCGUCAGCGAGGUGAAAGCAUCUCUUUUCUACCAGCUGCUGCUGCGGGGCCAGUCCUGCCCAGGUGGGAGGAGUGGCCCACACAGACACAGCAGCUGCUGUCUCUGAAAACUGACCUGCCAGCCAACUGCAGUGGUAUUUCAGGAGUUGCAGAACAGAGUGAAUUUUUUAAAUUUCUUGUUCCGUUCUGAUCAACUCAGACUGACGGCCGAUCAAGGGCCUGGGCGGAGCCAUGAUCCUGCUUUGGGUUGAGCAGGGAAGGAGAGAGAAUCAGCCCUUGGGGUCUGCGUCUUAAAAGUGACUUGGUUUCUAGUCGCUGGGUACCCUGCAGAGCAGCCGGACAUGGGAGGGUGUCUGAGUCCUGUGAGCUUCCUGAAGGCCCCGGUGAGAUACCUGAGAGUUGGGGGACUUGCCCCCCCGCCCCCAUCCGCAGGCGCUUUCGUGAAUUCCCCCUGUUCCCUUCAGGGCUCAACCUUGGCCAAGGCAGGGCCAGUCCUUAGACACUGGGGAUGAGGCGUGCAGAAACUUGAAAGUUCCAAUAUAUUUUUCUGGCCUUAAAUUAGCUGUGGUUUUUGCCCUAAAUCACAGAACUUUGAUCAUAGUAAUGCUUCUUUUAAGCCUUGUUUUUCCUCUUUCAAAAUAACCUGACUUAACCUGUAUGCACAGGGAGCCUCCUUUGAGUCAGCACUUUCAGCUUCCGAUGGCAGAGUCUGCGGUCUCUGCACCCGGUGCUGUGGCUCCAGUGUCGAGCGCCCCCUGGCCAGGGGCGCGGGCGUGGGCCGCCAGGGGCGCGGGCGUGAG
Molecule: long non-coding RNA, 1502 nt
Filed under: Microcebus murinus (gray mouse lemur)
Lineage: Eukaryota; Metazoa; Chordata; Mammalia; Primates; Cheirogaleidae
Description: lncRNA (ENSMICG00000048714.1)
Source: RNAcentral